GGAGAGAUGGCAGAGUGGUCGAAUGCGCCGGUUUGCUAAACCGGUGAACGGUGUAAAACUGUUCCACGGGUUCGAAUCCCGUUCUCUCCGC
This is a transfer RNA of 91 nucleotides. It matches the Rfam family "tRNA". Rfam says of the family: Transfer RNA (tRNA) molecules are approximately 80 nucleotides in length. Their secondary structure includes four short double-helical elements and three loops (D, anti-codon, and T loops).